Long non-coding RNA from Solea senegalensis (Senegalese sole), 610 nucleotides. RefSeq lists it as uncharacterized. The transcript has 4 exons. The record is from RefSeq and is a predicted model, not a curated record. Lineage: Eukaryota; Metazoa; Chordata; Actinopteri; Pleuronectiformes; Soleidae.
CCCUGGCUACAAACUGGGUCCCUUGACUCCUUCAAAGCGAGGCCUGGCUGCCACUCUGACUCGUGCCAAGCCCUCAUACCUGCCUAGAGACAUCUCUACACUAAGACUGGAAAUCAUUGAGGAGACCACAGGCUGCUUGCACCUCAUUCACCUGCAAUCUACUUUGACUUCAUGUGACAAAACUGAACUGAUACAUUCACCCUCAAGCUAAAGGACCCGUCCUCUCAGCGAUAUGAGGUCAAGCUCCCAGCUGAUGAUCCCAAGAGCAGAGCAGAUAACUCCGAUGUCCUUUACACCACCGAGUACCAGUCUGACCCAUUUGGUUUCAUAGUGCGACGUAAAUCCAAUGGACGCACGAUUAUAAACACCACUGUGGGACCUCUGCUUUUUGCUGACCAGUACUUGCAGUUGUCCACCACACUAGCCUCUUCCCUUGUGUCUGGCCUUGGGGAACAUUACACCUGCCUCCUCCUAGACCUUAACUGGACUUCUCUUACUCUCUGGAACAGAGACAUGGCACCUCAUGCUCAUGCUAACCUAUAUGGCUCCCACCCAUUCUACAUUGUACAGGAGGCUGAUGGAUUAGCACAUGGAGUUUUCCUUCUCAACA